AAAAGGAACUCUUAAGAUGUUGAGGUGAAAUUGACCACUUAUCUUUUUUUUUCAAACAUUUUAUUUAGGGGCAGCCUGGGUGGCUCAGCGGUUUGGCACCUGCCUUCGGCCCAGGGCGUGAUCCUGGAGUCCCAGGAUCGAGUCCCACAUCGGGCUCCCUGCAUGGAGCCUCCUUCUCCCUCUGCCUGCGUCUCUGCCUCUCUCUCUGUGUCUCUCAUGAAUAAAUAAAUAAAAUGUUUUUUAAAAAUAUUUUAUUUACUUACUCAUGAGAGAGAGAGAGAGAGAGAGAGAGAGGCAGAGACAUCAGGAGAGGGAGAAGCAGGCUCCCUGGAGGGAGCCCGAUGUGGGACUCGAUCCCGGGUCUCCAGGAUCAGGCCCUGGGCCAAAGGCAGGCACUAAACCACUGAGCCACCCAGGGAUCCCAACCGCUUAUCUUUUUAAGUUCCUCCAGUGCAAGGCCCCCUGCUUCUGAGUCGAGACCCUGCACAGUACUGCCAUGCUGUCUGGGGGGACCCGGACACCCCAAACUAUCACAGGUGAGUUCAUGCCCUUGAAAAUGUAUAUACUGACUCUUUAGGGGCACAGAAAUGUCUCCAGCUCACCUACAGAUAUUCAUUCUUGGCAGAUGCAGCCUCUUAAACCCAGAGUACAAGGGAGAGACUUGCCUGGGGGCAAAGGUGAGGGCAAUUUCUCAGAUUUGGGGAUCUGAAGAUCUCCAGCCUGCCUAGUCUUCUCCAAGACAAUUAGCACCAAAGUCACUUAAAGUGCUUCCUAACAAAUGUAAAUUCCUGAGCCCCUUCUCCCCUAGGGAAUUUAUUAAAUGGGGGGUGGGGGGGAGUGGCCAGGAGUCCCUAUUCUGACCAGCUGCCUAAAUGACCCUAAGGCCGACUAAAGAUAAAGACUGUCCACUCCUCACUCCCACUACCGUUUCCUAUUGUCCUCACCUGCUAAGCUAGAUGUUUCAUUUCACUCCGGGCCAGAUCCCUGAUGCCCAUCUCCGUGGUUAUGCAUUGUGGCCAGAGCAGGGUCCCCCACAACUGGUCCAGCCAGAUGGGCCUGGGGUCCGAGACACUGAUUUUCUCCUGUAUGUGUUGGUGGCCCACACUUCCAAAUGCCAUGGAGAGCCCUCUAUCAUAGCCUAUGCUGCCUGCUGCCAGCUGGACUCAGAAGACAGACCCCUCGCUGGCACCAUUGUCUACUGCGCCCAGCAUCUCACCAGCCCCAGCCUCAGCCAUCGUGACAUCGUCAUGGUGACUGCUGCAUGAUGAAUAGGAAGGCGCAAACAGGUUGGGGGAAGGGGGCAGGUCACUCAGCUUCCCAUGGAGUGGAAGAAUCUACUAGGGAUUGGAGGAGAAGCUGCCUCAACUCUAAGAAGAGCUGAUUGGGCAGAGGGACUAGAGAGUGGCUAGUCAAUCUGCUCCAUUCCCCCACCCCCCUCACCCUGCAGUCAUUUGUCCUUAGGUCACACUACACGAAUUGCUCCAUGCUCUGGGUUUCUCCGGACAGCUCUUCAAGAAGUGGCGGGAUUGCCCCUCGGGACCCAGCGGUAAAUGAGAGGAGUGAGGGCAAGCUUUCCUACGAUGUCAGCAAGAGGGGAUCACUACCAUACCACCAACUCCUUCCUUCCGGUGCUGCUCUACCCUUCCUAAGUCUUCCUCUUCUCAUAUAGUCUUCUUCGCUUUUUGUGCUCAGUUAGGGAGAACUGUUCCACAAGGCAACAAGUGACACGGCGAGAUGAGUGGGGACAGCUGCUUCUAACCACCCCAACUGUUAGCCACAGCCUGGCCAAACACUUGGGAGUGCCAGGGACUUCAGUGGGUGUUCCCUUGGAAGAAGAGGUGAGAAUGAGAACACCUGGGGGUGCUGGAAGGAACAGGGAGUAGACAGGUGGCAACCAGCUACCUCCUCCCUAGGGCCCUUUGUCUUCACACUGGGAGGCCCGAAUGCUCCAGGGUUCUAUAAUGACCGCUACCUUCGAUGGUGCCCGGCGCACUCGACUUGAUCCAAUCACUCUCGCUGCCUUCAGAGAUUCUGGCUGGUACCAAGUCAAUCACAGCGCUGCACAGGAGCUGUUGUGGGGCCAGGGUGAGAACAAGGAGAAUGGCAGAGGGGCCCUCGUGACCUGAGUCAGUUUGGGGGCAGUGAGAGAGAUUGGGAGGGAUUAUCUGCUGGUGUGAGGGAUGCUUGGGGCUUCGUUUGUUCUUUUUUUUUUUUUUUUAUGAUUUUAUUUAUUCAUGAGAGACACACAGAGAGACAGAGACACAG
This is a long non-coding RNA of Vulpes vulpes (red fox), 2265 nucleotides long. NCBI's taxonomy places the organism in Eukaryota, Metazoa, Chordata, Mammalia, Carnivora, Canidae. The record is from Ensembl.